GUGGGGAAUAUUGGUCAAUGGACGAAAGUCUGAACCAGCCAUGCCGCGUGGAGGAUGAAGGUCCUCUGGAUUGUAAACUUCUUUUAUCUGGGACGAAAAAAGGUCUUUCUAGAUCGUCUGACGGUACCAGAUGAAUAAGCACCGGCUAACUCCGUUCCAGCAGCCGCGGUAAUACGGAGGGUGCAAGCGUUAUCCGGAUUCACUGGGUUUAAAGGGUGCGUAGGUGGGUUGGUAAGUCAGUGGUGAAAUCUUCGAGCUUAACUCGUAAACUGCCAUUGAUACUAUCAGUCUUGAAUAUUGUGGAGGUUAGCGGAAUAUGUCAUGUAGCGGUGAAAUGCUUAGAUAUGACAUAGAACACCAAUUGCGAAGGCAGCUGGCUACACAUAUAUUGACACUGAGGCACGAAAGCGUGGGGAUCAAACAGGAUUAGAUACCCCAGUAGUCC
RNAcentral lists this ribosomal RNA (445 nucleotides) under uncultured bacterium. RNAcentral describes it as "partial 16S ribosomal RNA". It matches the Rfam family "Bacterial small subunit ribosomal RNA", at positions 354 to 796 of the family's 1533-position model. The record is from RNAcentral.